Molecule: ribosomal RNA, 506 nt
Filed under: uncultured bacterium
Lineage: Bacteria
Description: partial 16S ribosomal RNA
Rfam family: Bacterial small subunit ribosomal RNA
Source: RNAcentral
AGUGAACGCUGGCGGUAGGCCUAACACAUGCAAGUCGAACGGCAGCACAGGAGAGCUUGCUCUCUGGGUGGCGAGUGGCGGACGGGUGAGGAAUACAUCGGAAUCUACCUUUUCGUGGGGGAUAACGUAGGGAAACUUACGCUAAUACCGCAUACGACCUUCGGGUGAAAGCAGGGGACCUUCGGGCCUUGCGCGGAUAGAUGAGCCGAUGUCGGAUUAGCUAGUUGGCGGGGUAAAGGCCCACCAAGGCGACGAUCCGUAGCUGAUCUGAGAGGAUGAUCAGCCACACUGGAACUGAGACACGGUCCAGACUCCUACGGGAGGCAGCAGUGGGGAAUAUUGGACAAUGGGCGCAAGCCUGAUCCAGCCAUGCCGCGUGGGUGAAGAAGGCCUUCGGGUUGUAAAGCCCUUUUGUUGGGAAAGAAAAGCAGCCAGUUAAUACCUGGUUGUUCUGACGGUACCCAAAGAAUAAGCACCGGCUAACUUCGUGCCAGCAGCCGCCGUAA